Molecule: ribosomal RNA, 416 nt
Filed under: uncultured eukaryote
Lineage: Eukaryota
Description: SSU rRNA
Rfam family: Eukaryotic small subunit ribosomal RNA
Source: RNAcentral
UGACAGUCAUCCGCUUGCAAACAUAUGUUCGAUCUUCACCGGUUGGCUAUGUGAGUAAGCACUUUACCUUGAGAAAAACAAGAGUGUUCCAGGCAGGUUUGUCCGGGAUGCAUUAGCAUGGAAUAAUAGAACAUGACUGAAGUCGAUUUAUUGGUUUAAGGCUUUAGUAAUGAUUAAUAGGAACAGUCGGGGGCAUUCGUACUCAGCAGUCAGAGGUGAAAUUCUAAGAUUUGCUGAAGACGAACUAAUGCGAAAGCAUUUGCCAAGGAUGUUUUCAUUAAUCAAGAACGAAGUUAGGGGAUCAAAGACGAUCAGAUACCGUCCUAGUCUUAACUAUAAACUAUGCCGACUCGGAUUCAGAUGAAUCAAAUGUUCAUUUGGGACCGUAGGAGAAAUCAAAGUCUUUGGGUUCUGGG